CAGGACAGGUAUAGUACAGGCAGCAACAGUGCAAGCUUUCCCCACACCACCUCAUCCAGGCGCUUCAACCCUGACCUGGAGACACCACCUCUAGA
Molecule: small RNA, 95 nt
Filed under: Cavia porcellus (domestic guinea pig)
Lineage: Eukaryota; Metazoa; Chordata; Mammalia; Rodentia; Caviidae
Description: TUC338 (ENSCPOG00000031083.1)
Source: RNAcentral